RNAcentral lists this ribosomal RNA (301 nucleotides) under uncultured bacterium. RNAcentral's name for it is "partial 16S ribosomal RNA". It matches the Rfam family "Bacterial small subunit ribosomal RNA", at positions 509 to 807 of the family's 1533-position model. The record is from RNAcentral.
CAGCAGCCACGGUAAUACGAAGGGGGCUAGCGUUGUUCGGAUUUACUGGGCGUAAAGCGCACGUAGGCGGAUCGAUCAGUCAGGGGUGAAAUCCCAGAGCUCAACUCUGGAACUGCCUUUGAUACUGUCGAUCUGGAGUAUGGAAGAGGUGAGUGGAAUUCCGAGUGUAGAGGUGAAAUUCGUAGAUAUCCGGAGGAACACCAGUGGCGAAGGCGGCUCACUGGUCCAUUACUGACGCUGAGGUGCGAAAGCGUGGGGAGCAAGCAGGAUUAGAGACCCCAGUAGUCCCUGUCUCUUAUAC